CACCGUUUUUCAACUUCACCUUAUUUCACUUUUUAUCAUUAUUUCUCUCAGGUAAGUACUUUCUAUCAUUAUUUCUCCCAGGUUAACUUCCAUUAAAACUUAGAAAAAAAUGCUUUAAUUAUAUAUUAUUUUUCUUGGCUGAUCUAACUCGGAAUAUUUUUUCUAAAGUUAUGACUGGGUAAAAAGUGUCGAGUAUCGGCUCAUAAACGGGAAAAAAACGUGACAGACUGUGCCAGGCGUUUUCAUUAAUUUGUGUAUACAACGAGAAAAAUAUUUUGUAAAAGCAGUGCCACUUUAAGUUGUGUAUGGUUUAAGCCUGUGUUUUGCCAUUUUUGUGCGGAAGUCUCAAACUUUCUGGCUAUUUUGUAAUUCCAGUAGCGGAUGGGUCCAGCUAACUGUGAAUUCUGCAAAUCGCGUUUCUACCAAAAUUUUCGGCCAGACUAGUAGAUAUGUUCUUCAGAGGCGAAAAACAUAAAUGGAGAGCGCGUCAAACGAAAAUUAGUAAUUGUAUUUCAAUUAUAAUAGCAUCCGUCGGCAUUUCGUGCAUUUAAAAUUUUAUCCUAAAGAAAAUUUUAUAAGUUUUACAGAAAGAACGUUUUUCUUUCUCUUACGUCUUUCCUACCAAAUUUUUAUUUCCUCGUUACGUGUUAUUUUAUAUUUUGCCGUGGUUUCUCUAAAUUUUGUCCUUUGUAUCAGCAUUUUACUUCUCGCCUCGAGUAUUUUUCGGCUUUCGUAUUUUAUGUCAAACUUUUUUUUUUUAACUAAUCCGGGUUGGUAAGUCGUGUGGGUAGAAAAACUCGUCCGAUAGAAAAGUUUCGGAGUCAACGAAUAUUUACAGCUUCUCAUAGUGACAGGUAAAAAGUCGAAGUUAUUAAAACGUGAAAGAUUAUACUAAACAAAGAGGACAACCAAAUUGUGACAUUAUUAGUUCUCCAAACAGCGGAAUUCUUUUAAUCAGCGUAAACUAAGAAUCCCAGCAAAGAAUGGUUGGACUUACGAAGCUAGUAGUCAUUUCGAUCAUAAAGUAUGCGGCACCACCGAUACGAUGUAUGGAAGACCAUCGAUGUUAAAGACAAAAGGCCAACGCUUGGACCAAUUAUGGGCCCGAGAGAGAUCAAUUUGGUGCGCGAGUAGGCGUUCCAUUCGACCCCAUAUUUCUUACCAAGCCAGACGGUUAUUAAAUUUACUUUUUGGUUGGUGGCCGAGUAGACGGGAUAAGUACGAAUCCCAUUUAAAAACGAGAUAUUAAACAAGUUAGUUAAGAUGGCUUCACUCUUUCCAGAUUUGAUUUUUUAUUAAUUUUUUAAUCGAAAUUUACACGCAGUAUCGGAACUUUCUAGGGAAUGGAUCCCCAGAACAGUGGUCUCAAACUCAAAUUAGGUGCGGGCCAAUGCGCAAUUCGAAAGGGCCGAAUAUUUUUAAACAAAAUUAUAACGAGAAGAAGAUAUUUUACUAAUAGACAAUCGUAUUUGCUGAAAGCGCAGACGGGUCGAGUGCUUUAAAACAUUUUAUUAAAGUUAAAUCGUAAUCAUUUAACAAAUAGCUAAAAUAUUUUGGCGGGCCGUACAAAAUUGUUUGGCAGGCUGCCAGUUCGAGACUGCUACCCUAGAAAACUCGCUUCAAUCCAGAUCAGAUAAUAAAUAAGCGCCAUAGGGCAAACUUAAUUCCCUUUUAUUCCAUUUAGAGAUGUAAACAGAGAAAGGCAAAGCUUGGAGUCCGAGUAUUUCCGGUCGAGAAAACUAUAGUUGCUGAAAUAACAAUUCUUUAAUCAAUUAAAACAAAAAAGUUUUAAUUAAUUAAAGAACUGUUAUUUCAUUUUUAUACCGAUUUUCGAUAUUUAACUCGGGUUGUAACCUUCUGCCGUUUCCACUUACGGUAAUUUAAAGGUUUUACACUACUGUUUACUCCGUACCUAUUUCUUCCACUUCCUCCAUCCGCAUCAUUUUGGCUAAAUUUACCAGUAGAUAACAAUACGGCACCGCGUAUACUUUGACUGAAUCCCAUCAAAUUUCACAACCCGACGAUUUUAUUUAUUGAUUAUAACUUUUAUAUUGGAGUGUGGCCAUAAUAUUAAAACGUCGGUUGGUGGUUAUAGGUGGACAAAGUUUGGAAUUCUAAUUAUUUUGGCAUUAACGGUCGGUUCCAUCGGCUGCAUCGCCUUCUUCACUUAUUGG
Molecule: long non-coding RNA, 2174 nt
Filed under: Androctonus crassicauda
Lineage: Eukaryota; Metazoa; Arthropoda; Arachnida; Scorpiones; Buthidae
Source: RNAcentral